UACGUAGGGUGCAAGCGUUGUCCGGAAUUAUUGGGCGUAAAGAGCUCGUAGGCGGUUUGUCGCGUCGGGAGUGAAAACCUGGGGCUUAACCCCGGGCCUGCUUUCGAUACGGGCAGACUAGAGUUCGGCAGGGGAGACUGGAAUUCCUGGUGUAGCGGUGAAAUGCGCAGAUAUCAGGAGGAACACCGGUGGCGAAGGCGGGUCUCUGGGCCGAUACUGACGCUGAGGAGCGAAAGCGUGGGGAGCGAACAGG
Molecule: ribosomal RNA, 253 nt
Filed under: uncultured bacterium
Lineage: Bacteria
Description: partial 16S ribosomal RNA
Rfam family: Bacterial small subunit ribosomal RNA
Source: RNAcentral